AAAAAAAAAAAACUGAAACAAAGAAAUCGAAGAAGAAGAAAAAGAGAAAGAGACGGAGAAAUUCGAGAGAGAAGUAGAAAGAAGUUCAAAAUUCAUUAUCCACUCCUUCAUAUUUUGACAUCUCUCUAUUGAACUCCAAAAUUGAGGAACAAAUUUCUUAUUUUCAGAGAUAAACAAAAUGCAAAAAAAAAGCUCAUAGAUUCAAACACUUUAGCUUUUUAAACUAAAGAUACUCUAGGUUUACAAGAUUUAUUUAUAAAUAAUAAUCAAAACGUAAAAAAAUGAGAUUUUGAGAAAACUGAUAAAGACGGCCGCAAAAUUAGGUUUGCAGAAAAGGAUACACAGGUUGAAGAUGACUGGAAAAUUACAAUUAUACCCUUCAUCGAAUUUUUUCUGUGUACGUAUAUUUAAUUUACAGUGUACGUACACAAAAUUAUUUAUUAGAACGUAUAUGGGACGAUUUCUAAUAACUCAAACUAUUUUAUUACGUAUUCUUAUAUCUCAAUAAUCUCAAUACAUACAUAAUAAUUAAAUAAAAAUAGAUGGUGAAAUAAUGUACGUACAUUUUUGUUGGUAAAUUAAUGUAUGUACAUGUGUAAUAAUAUACGUACAUCUUUGUUUGUACAUUAAAUUAUUAAG
This 639-nucleotide small RNA is filed under the name Arabidopsis thaliana (thale cress). Its description in RNAcentral is "ATSL260080". Lineage: Eukaryota; Viridiplantae; Streptophyta; Magnoliopsida; Brassicales; Brassicaceae. The record is from RNAcentral.